Molecule: unclassified non-coding RNA, 364 nt
Filed under: Hevea brasiliensis (rubber tree)
Lineage: Eukaryota; Viridiplantae; Streptophyta; Magnoliopsida; Malpighiales; Euphorbiaceae
Source: RNAcentral
AAUGACACAAUCCAAACCAAAAUAAAAGAAAUGCAAGCGACCGCUUUAUGGUGGGGUCCGAAAGCCCGAUCAUCACUCAGAGCUAAAGGACAAUUGAAUGCAGAAGAGACAGCUAAACACACGGACUCCUCUCCUUUCCCUUUCUCCUUCCAUUUUCACCUUUCCCUUUCUGCCCCACCGGAAUUUGCAAUGAAGAACAUUUAGGUAAAUGUAAUCCACAAAUUAUACACUAAUUUGAUGAAUUGAGACUCCUGCAGAGUUGGUUAUCAUCUUUCCGGUGUCUACAUUCGCGUUUUCUACACUAGUUUUCAAAACCACCGCCGAAAUGACCACCAGAGGAAGCAGAUCAGAGAAGGUGAAGCGA